AUUUGUUCCUUUUUAUUGCUGACUAGCAUUAAGUCCCUUUCUUGUGACUGUAUCGUAUAGUCUGCAUCGUUACAAAAACUUACUUACAAGGUCUCUAUUAUUGGGUACUCCUGCUGUCUUUUGCUGUUAUAAAUUGUGAAUUUCCUAUAUACUCAAUCCCUCUGCCUUCCUGCACCUACUUAAUUUCUAGCAAUGAAGGAACAAUAUCAGUGGUAUCUUUGCACAGACAUCCUCAAAGGUUGGCACUCAUGCAAGCACAUCGCCGUGGUGAACUGCUAUGAAGAAGUCAUGACUAUAAUGAGGUGACAACGGCAGACUUUUUCCUAGAGAACCCUUCAUGAUUGAAUUGUGAGAAAGCAAGGAAUCGGGGUGUACCAUGGAGAACCAGAAUGGCCAGAGACUCCUGAUUCAUACUUUAUCUGAGAGUUGAGACCUUAGGCCACUGUCCUUGGGGCCUGGAUAUUUAUAUGCACCUGUACCUCAAGGAGUAAACCUGACAGUUCUGUGGUCCAUUGCUUUCACAUCUGACCAAAAGUCAGGAGGCGUGCUGCAGUGAUGGAUGGCAUUCCAGCGGUAUUUUGCAUUUGAGAUUCCACAGGGAACCUGGAAACUUAGUGCUUUUAUGAUGUAGGGCAUUUAUGACUUCACGAGAAAGACAAGGAACCUCAGAAUGAUCAGUAAUGUCUCUCAUCUUCCUCAAGAGGAGUAAGAGUCAGCAGAGG
This 722-nucleotide long non-coding RNA is filed under the name Cricetulus griseus (Chinese hamster). Its description in RNAcentral is "lncRNA (ENSCGRG00015043191.1)". Lineage: Eukaryota; Metazoa; Chordata; Mammalia; Rodentia; Cricetidae. The record is from RNAcentral.